UACGUAGGGUGCAAGCGUUAAUCGGAAUUACUGGGCGUAAAGCGUGCGCAGGCGGUUGGGCAAGACAGAUGUGAAAUCCCCGGGCUCAACCUGGGAAUUGCAUUUGUGACUGCACGGCUAGAGUGUGUCAGAGGGGGGUAGAAUUCCACGUGUAGCAGUGAAAUGCGUAGAGAUGUGGAGGAACACCGAUGGCGAAGGCAGCCCCCUGGGCUAACACUGACGCUCAGGCACGAAAGCGUGGGGAGCAAACAGG
RNAcentral lists this ribosomal RNA (253 nucleotides) under uncultured bacterium. RNAcentral's name for it is "partial 16S ribosomal RNA". It matches the Rfam family "Bacterial small subunit ribosomal RNA", at positions 524 to 776 of the family's 1533-position model. The record is from RNAcentral.